This is a long non-coding RNA of Passer montanus (Eurasian tree sparrow), 6207 nucleotides long. RefSeq lists it as uncharacterized. The record is from RefSeq and is a predicted model, not a curated record. The transcript is spliced from 2 exons. NCBI's taxonomy places the organism in Eukaryota, Metazoa, Chordata, Aves, Passeriformes, Passeridae.
GGGCCCGGAGCGCAGCUGCGGAGCCCGAGGGUCGCUGCCGGGGCCGGCAGGCGGGGGUCCGGCCAGAGCCCACCCCUGAAAAAAGCUGGAAAAGUACUUUUUCUCAUGGUUUUUCUACGGCUUCCUUCCCUGGAAGCAGCUCGGGGCGGCCGCUGCGGUGCCGGGGCCGCCGCAGGUGCGGGAGCAGCUCAGGCUGCCUCUGUUUCCAGAGCCCGUGCUGAAGGACUGCUGCUAACGCGCUGCUGGCUGCUCAUGAAUCCCAGAAACUGCUUUGCAUAACAGUUUUAUUUUCAUGCAGUAAUCUUCCCUGUUAGCUGUGUUUUCGGACUCUUUGGCAAUCAGUUCUUAAUACCUGCGCUGUUUUGCAAACUGGCUUUUUCAAGGCGUUACCGGCUUUGCUGCCGUGGAUGGGUGCCCUGUGCUCUGCAUAGGCUGUUGUGCUUUAGGGCAAAGUGGACAAGAAACUGGGGAAAAGCAGUUUACUCCUGGAUCUUAGGAAAGUUUACCACCAAAACAGGAUUCCAGUGUUUUUAAAAAACUUUUCCUUCCCCUUGAAUUGAAAUAAGAUCCAGAUCACUUUAGUAUUGGAUCUUGCUGUAAAAUCUAUUUACAUUUAUAUUUAAAUUUACGUCUAAUGCCUCGUAACUCUUUGAAGAAUAACCACCAGCCAAGCCUCUGAUGCACUGCCACUGCAAGAAAAUACUUGUGCCCAAGAAGGUUUUCAAUAUUCAUCAGUAAUGCAUUUAUAAAGAGAGAGAGCUCCUUGCAACAAUGUAAAUACAGGAGGAAAUAAAUCUAAAUAAAUCCUUUGCAUUUGCCACCCAGUCUACUUUUUAAUUCAGCUUCAUAACUAGCUGGGAGUGCAGUUGUGCUGUCACAGAGACAAGUGUGGGUGGUCCCAGCCCCAACGCAGGAGAUGCCAUUUCAGGAUAAAACCCUCCUGUGGAACUUGCCACAGGCCAUCUCUGUGCCAGCCUGACACCUUCCCUAGUGCUGUGACUUGUGUUUUCCAUGGCCACUGUGCAAGGAACAGGGAUCAAAGAACAUUGAACUCAUGUUUAGGACCCAACUAACUUUGUGUCAUUCAGUCCAGGUUGCUGAAAUGGAGUAAGUCCUUUUAUUUUGAGGCUGGUUGUCUUUGGUUUCUAGUGAGCUUUAUCUUACUGGCCAUUUUUUUCUGUUAGAAAAUGUAAAGGUUUUCUUCAAAAUAAAUGACAAUUAGAGCAGUGGAAGAUAGAAUUAUCAAUGUAUGCAUAUUUUUAGAUAUAAACACAUAUCCUUUGAAGUUCAAUUUGGAGAAGACAGAAAUUUAGUUGGGUUUAUUUUUCACAUAAGCUUUUUUUGAGUCCAUUUUUUCUGGCAGUAUUUUUUUUUAUAAUGUGGGAAGAAAAAAAUUGUGUGGUGCCUGAGUUACUGGAGGAUCUGUUCAGUGACAGACCCCAUUGUUAUCACUCUCUGUCUCUGCUGAUUUCAAGUUCCAGACUGGGUGUACCAAGAGGCACAGGCUGCUGUGAAAAGGUGGCAACUCUGCCCUGCAGGAACAGCCCAGAAAGGAGCAGGGGAAUCCCAAUGGAUAAAACACAACACGGAGACAUGCCUUUGCACCCACUGCUUUUAAUGAUCUUGGUACUUUAACCCUUUUAGCCUCAACAUGAAGGAGGUUUGAGUCUAUUUUGUGGACUGGUUAAGUGUAUUGCACAAGCCCUCAGUGGAGGGGCCAGAGGCUGCACAGGGAGCCAGCAGCUCUGGGAUGGGGGUGGCUGCCAAGCACAGCCUGCAAGCUUGGAACAGCUCUCCUGUUUCCAUGUGCUGUCCCCUCCAAGCUCUUCCAAGGUCCUUGUUACCAGAUAGAAAGAUGAAGACUUUCAAAAUUUGGUCCAAAACAAAUGGGGCUCCAAGAGCUCAUGAACCUUGGAAAUUCUGCUCAAGGUGAGAAUCAUAGCAACUAGCUUAAGGGAUGAGAUCCCAAAUGCAAACAGCCUAAAAAAAACUAAACUUUACUUUAGAGCCACUCCUGUGGUAACAUCCCAGGAGGCAGAGAAUGGCCCAGGAACUGGAUACAGAUUACCUGGGAAGAAAGAGACUUCUUAUAGCUUUCACUGGCAUGGUUCAAUACAGUAUUAAACAAAAUUAAAUUAAAAUAAAAUUAUUAUAUAUCUUAUUAUUGUAAGAUUAUUAUAUUCCUACUACUGUGAGAGGAACUCGGUGUCUAUCUAUAUGAGACAUCUCUUUCUCUUUCCUUGAUGUGCAUUGCCCCAGUGGAAGCUGCAAUUUUCAGCCAAAUUCAGAUCCUCAAAAGCCUAACAGUGAUAUUUCUAGGGACUCAUGAUAAUGAUAACAUUUUCAAAAACCCUUCAAUGUAUGCAGCAAUAUCAAACUCAAUUCCACCUGUACGUUUUUUAGGAUUUUGAAAUCUUUCAGGUCUGAAAACAGCAAUUUCUUACUGGAUGUUUAGAAAGCCCACCCUGCCAGGGACCAUGUGUGCAAGGAACCCCUGCACAGAGCCCUAACACAUCGAGUCUCCCUACUCUUCAGUCAGGAUUCUGUAAACGAUGCUGGCUCACAGGGCUUCCCCCUGUUCUGUGAAGCUAGGAGCCAUGCCCUGAUCCUUGGAGAAUCCAGGCUCCUUGCCAAAAACCAGGGGUUUGAAAACCUGGGGCCACUCAGAGCUGCCAGGCUCCCUGCCAUGAGGCAGAGAUCUGAGCAGAGCUCUGAAAGGUGUGGCAGAUUCUGGCACAGUUGGGAACUCUCAAACCCUCACUUGCUCCAGGCCUAAUGGAGACUGGGUAGCCAAAAAGCCCUGGAGUUUGACUCACCCAUGAGCUGCACACUUGGAAUCACAACUGCAGCUUGGUUUCUAUAUUUUCAAAAUAAAACUAUUCUAAUUAUUUGAAACAUACUGCUACUUUUUUCUUUCUCUUCUGCUUUCACAGGAAAUUCAGAAAAUCAAUUUCCAUUCUAUGCUCAAGUUCACUCCCCUUUCUGGGAACUGGUAUUUCAUGAAGACAGAAAUCUCCAUUUUCAGUCAGCUCCACUCAUGAAGUCUAACCAGAAUGCAGGAAAAGCCAUUACAAUUAACAUGUAAGAGUAAUAAGGACAUAAUAGAAUACAUUCAGCAGGGAAUUGCCUCGCUGACCCUGCAGCCCAACAUCCCAGCAGGCUUCUCAAACAGUUCCUUCACCCCUGAGCAACAAAACAACAGGAGGCCUUUCUCAAUGGAAGUGCCAGACAGAUUGCAGCAACAGGAGCAAUGUUUUUAUUGUCUUAGCACACUGGACCUUUACAAAUUUUUGAACUCCCUCGGAAGCAGCAAUCAUGGGAAAGUAACAGAAGUUAAGUGGUUUAGCCUCUGCCACAAACAAGGCAGUGGUAGACCUGGGAUUAGAUAGCAACAGUAGUUCUUAGUCUUGGUAAACAAUAAAGAAACUCUUUCUAAGCAGCCAUUAAUGUCUGGUUAUUAGGCUGAAGAGUAGCAAGUUUUGAUUUUCCAGCAUUAAAAUUCCCCUGGAAUUCCUCCAGAGUCCUCUAAUGAACAGAUGAUCUCAACUUUAAUCUUACUUCAUAAUUAUCCAUGGGUAACAUUUCAACAUGGACUCCUUAAGCACAUGUAAUUUCUAGAGCAAGUAAUAUUCAAACUAAUUCAUUUCUCCUUUGAUGCACAAGAUGAGAGCACUGAGAAGCAACCAGCAACAAGGGGAUGUUGAGGGUACACUGAGGAGACAGAAACUACAAAGGUCAGAGUAAAUGCAAUGGUUUCAUCCCACACUGUCAAGAUCUUUGAUCUUCAGUCUCUGUUCAUUUUUUUAAGAAGCUGGCAUGUCUUUAUGCUGACCUUUGAAUUGCUCAUGAAGGACUCAAAUCUGACAUAUAUCUGCAUUCUUGAGAUGAACUUGCACCAAAAAUUUAGAGCUUUUUUCCUAGCAACCUGGAUAUGACAACCUUUUUGAGACAGACUUGAGAGACACUUCCAUUUUCACCAAUAGUAGUCUGUAAGAAAAAAAAAAAAAAAACAAGAAAAAAAAAACCCCCCAAACCCAAACUUCAGGCUUCACAGAUUCUUUUCCACUCACUUGGAGUUGCCCUAUAGCUUAAUAAUUCUAGAGGUUUGUUUCAAAACUUCUAUUUUAACUUUGUGAUGUUUGGAGAGGGAUACCCUGAGGGAUUCUUGCUUCUGGCAACAAGUACUCAGAACACAGCAGAAGUCUCACUCUGAGGACAGGAGGGAGUCUGCCUUGGGCACUGUGUUCCAAACCAGGACUAAGGUGUUCCAACUGCAAACAAAAAUCUCUUUCAGAUCCAAAGGCAGAGAGCUUGAUCACUGUGGAUCUUUGGCACAAAUACAGACAAUGGAAGUGAACCUUCAUAAUCUUUCUGAACUGACUUUUAAGGAGAUACCUGAGCUGUUGAAAGAUAAGAGUUCUUCCAUGUUCUUUCUAAUGCUGACAGUAAAGGUGGUUGUGAGGGGAGAGAAACCACUUCCCCUCUCCAACAAACUCAUGCUGUAAAUGAGCCAAAGGCAGCAGGGAGAGAUAGAGCCUGGACAGAGAGGGAGAAGAAUCUGCAAGACAUCCAGAAAGAAGAGCCAGGGAACCACUGAAACAUUCCACUUGAGGAUAAAAAGGAAAAGAGGGCUGGCUGGGAAAAUGGGUCCAACAUAACUGGUAGAUGCAUCAGAGGCUUAAAUGCUUGGGGUUGAAGAUUCCAGACCAGACUUCAACUGGAAGGAAAAUGUUUAUGAUAAGAACAGGGAGAGGCAAGUUCCCACUUCCCCUGAUGACCCAUUGUUCCCCUCUCUGAUAGCUCUUGCCUCAGUUUCCAGAUGAUAUAUUGUUUUCCAAGCUACUUUGUCCAUUGUUCUGACAGCAGCCAGGUUUUGUUCAUGCUACUGAAACCUCCCAAUGCUCAGAAACAGUCAUGACAAAUUUUAAACAACUUGUACAGCUGGGAUUAUAAUACAAUUUAGGAAGUUAGAUGGUAAACAUUCUGUGCAUUCUGAAUACCUGCUCCUCUUCCUUCCCUUACUGAUAGUUCAGCUGCCUUUUUAUUGUUCAAAUGCAGUGAGCUGGAUUGGUAGAGGCUUUGAAAGUUCUGAGCCUUCCAAAUUACAUUCCCAAACUUCCCAUCAGCUAUGUCCAAAGUCAGCAUUUCAAAUGCAAAUCACUGUUUACAAGUUUCCUGUCCCUUCAGACUUCCCUCUCUCAAAAUCCCUGUCUGGAGCUUCCCAGUUUCUCUGUAUUGACAUUUAUUAGCCUGAAUGCAGCUCAGUGUGCUUGUAAAGAGAUGGGAUUUAUGUAUGUCUCAAUACAUCAUUUACAAUGGCAGUCUCUACUUAAUUAAUUAUGAUCUGAAUGGUUAUGGCUAGCAUUAAAAAUCAUUCUAAACCAGAGCAAAAUCAAUAAAAGUUCAAUUGACUCUUACUACACUAUUUGUUCUACUACUUUACUUCCUUAAAAACACAAACCAGGGGGGAAAGUCCACAGCUUCCCUCCAUUACAAGGAGGUUAAAGUAAAUAAUAGAACAUUAUCUGCUCAGAAUAUAACACACUCAUGAGAAGCAACAGCCUCCAAGUACCAGCUUAGCUAACUGAUUAUUGCCAUUGUAGCCCUUACAAACUGUACCAACAAAACAGGCAAAAUUAGUGACUUGCAGCAAACAGACAAAGGUUUGGUACUUACUCAUGUAUUGAUUGAUCUGGCAGUUCACAAUUAAUUAAUAAAUGCUAACUGUAGUACCAAAUCAUAAGAAACAGCAUUAUUCUUAAGCAUAAACAUAAUUUUGUUCAAAGAGUAUCUUGACAUAACUUUACACUAUUACCUCUUUGUAAAACCCUAGGAUUUUAUUAUUUACAGCAUAUCCUCUCAAUCACAGCCUCAAAAAUAGUCCUGUAAUGAAAUAACCACAGAACUGUAUGUUAGACACAAAAGGGUUCACAUUGGAAAAAAGAAAUCACAAGACUAUUAUUAUACAGGCAAUACAGUUUUAUUCUGUUCUUUCACCAAUUGUAGCAAAAACAUUUAACAACUGAAUGAAUAAUCAAGGGAACUUAAUUGUCAACAGGAAUUUCAGAAUUAUGUUCUAAAUUUUAGACCAGGAAGGCUUGACAGGGAGAAAACAAACCAUAUACACACUUGUAAUAAUAGUCUCUAUUAUGAAGAUUUAAUGCCUUCUUUAAAAGCACUGAGAUUAUUGAGGCACCUUACUGCAGG